This 245-nucleotide ribosomal RNA is filed under the name uncultured archaeon. RNAcentral's name for it is "partial 16S ribosomal RNA". It matches the Rfam family "Archaeal small subunit ribosomal RNA", at positions 474 to 718 of the family's 1478-position model. The record is from RNAcentral.
UCCCGGCAGUCCGAGUCGCAGCCACAAUUAUUGGGUCUAAAACAUCCGUAGCUUGCUUUAUAAGUCUCUUGUGAAAUCUGGCCUCUUAAGGGUCGGGCGAGCAAGAGAUACUGUAGAGCUAGAGACCGGAGGAUGUGAGGAGUACAAUCGAGGUAGUGGUAAAAUACGUUAAUCUCGAUUGGACUAACGACAGCGAAGGCACCUCACAACGACGGAUCUGACAGUGAGGGAUGAAAGCUAGGGGC